CCAAUAGCGUAUAUUAAAGUUGUUGCAGUUAAAAAGCUCGUAGUUGAAUUUCGGGAUUGACACAUCGGUCGUGCCCUAAGGGGUAUGAACUGGUGUAGUCAGUUUCUCACCUUCUGGAGAACCGCGAUGUCCUUAAUUGGGUGCCGCGAGGAACCAGGACCUUUACUUUGAAAAAAUUAGAGUGUUUAAAGCAGGCAUUUUGCUUGAAUACAUUAGCAUG
RNAcentral lists this ribosomal RNA (220 nucleotides) under uncultured Entrophospora. RNAcentral's name for it is "uncultured Claroideoglomus partial small subunit ribosomal RNA". It matches the Rfam family "Eukaryotic small subunit ribosomal RNA", at positions 591 to 811 of the family's 1831-position model. Lineage: Eukaryota; Fungi; Glomeromycota; Glomeromycetes; Entrophosporales; Entrophosporaceae. The record is from RNAcentral.